AACGCGAAGAACCUUACCAAGGCUUGACAUAUACGAGAACGCUGCAGAAAUGUAGAACUCUUUGGACACUCGUAAACAGGUGGUGCAUGGUUGUCGUCAGCUCGUGUCGUGAGAUGUUGGGUUAAGUCCCGCAACGAGCGCAACCCUCGUUCUAUGUUGCCAGCACGUAAUGGUGGGAACUCAUGGGAUACUGCCGGGGUCAACUCGGAGGAAGGUGGGGAUGACGUCAAAUCAUCAUGCCCCUUAUGUCUUGGGCUUCACGCAUGCUACAAUGGCCGGUACAAAGGGCUGCAAUACCGUAAGGUGGAGCGAAUCCCAAAAAGCCGGUCCCAGUUCGGAUUGAGGUCUGCAACUCGACCUCACGAAGUCGGAGUCGCUAGUAAUCGCAGAUCAGCAACGCUGCGGUGAAUACGUUCCCGGGUCUUGUACACACCGAAU
RNAcentral lists this ribosomal RNA (438 nucleotides) under uncultured marine bacterium. Its description in RNAcentral is "bacterial SSU rRNA". It matches the Rfam family "Bacterial small subunit ribosomal RNA", at positions 958 to 1395 of the family's 1533-position model. The record is from RNAcentral.